CGCACAUACAUAUAACUUAUAAUGUCACAAUAUGUAUAUAUUCGGGACGGCGGAAGGCAGACGUAGAAGAAGCAGCAGUAGUGGCAGCAACAGUUCAGCACCAACAACAACUAUUCCAAUGAGGGCGACAAUAAAGUACUCACCGCCUAGCUCGAAUUCGAAUCAAAAUGUUCCUCAUGCAGAAUGCACAACAACAAAAACAAAGACAAAGAUAAAAGCAACAGAAACUACAUUGGGAUGCGUGGAUGUGGUAGACAGUGAUCAGGAGGACGACAACAACUGCAACAACGGCAGCAGCAGCAACAGUAAAAACUGUAGCUGCAACGAUCCCAUUGCAAUCGACAUGGGCCGGAGACAGCGGUGUAGGCACAAUUAUAGCCACGGUGACAGUGAAACGCAAGUUGUCACAAGGGGCGACAGCAUGAGUGCGAAUCUGAGAAGCAAUUGCUGUCAACGUGAACAUAAAAAUUAUCGCAAACAUGUGAUGUCCCAACUGCCAAGCCGCAAGAGGGACGACGACAACGAUGACGACGAUAACCACAUGAUGAGGCCAGCGUCUGUCACAGAAGUACGAGAACGUCGCCAGUCGCAAUAUGCACGCGACUUUACGGUAAAUUUAGCGACGCAAGUCAAGACAUCCAGAAGAUUGAAGAGAAUAGGUGACGAUUUUGCAACAGCACCACAAACACAAUUAGCAAAUGAGUCAGAACUCGGAUUAACGUUGGAAUCAGCAUUUGACCGGGGCAUAAUGAGCGCCACACUAAAUGCAGUUGAAAGCUCAGACUCUGUGCUUAGCGAUUCGGAUGAUAUUAAAUCUGGCUCACAGGAAAGACUAUCACCCACGGCGAUAUCGUCAACAUUACCCAAAUCACACACGAAGUCUAGCACAGUAAAGACACCAACAAAACCCAUUUGCCUAGCGGGUAAUUUUAGUUUAAGUAACAAAAGACAAUUAGUUAUGCCAAUUGAGGAAGAGAAUAGAUUAGGAAAUGUAUUUGCUGGUGCGCAGCUACGCAAUGAGCUGCCGUUGGAACGACGCCCAAGCACUGAUUGGUAUAAUUUCUCAGCGCUUCAAGCGCAAACACAAUGGCGUCAUAGAAUAUUUUCACGACCCACUUCGAACUCGCUGACAGUGGGCAUUGAGCGGGCUUUUGCUUUUCUCGCCUCUGUAAUCGAUGCAAGAAGAAAUCAAUUGAGGCACGGGAUCGCCUACAAACAAGUUGUGCUUCGCAGUCUUGCAGCCUCAGCAUCAGGAAAUUCGCAAACAACGACAACAACAUUUGACUGCAGGUGCUUUAAGGAAAAUAGUGAUAUUUGUAUGGUUGCUGAUCAAACGGAUGCGGAUGCGGAGGUGGAUGUUGAUGCUGUUCAGGCAGAAACAGUAGAUAAAAGAGAAAUGUGCGUAUUAGCAGGACAUAGUGAUAGACGAGUGGCAAGCCCAGAACAUCGGCAUCCAGCACAACGAUUCAAUUUCUUUUCCUCGUCUUCACUGCUGAUGCGAACAAAUAUUUGCUCUUUGGCAUUAACGGGUGUGCCGCCUUGGCCGACUAAUCUUAUGCUUUUAUCACUAUUUAUGCUGAGUUUAACUGCGCCGGCCAGUUGCUGGACAGGACGAUCAGAUGUUCCAACAAAUUGCACUUUUCCCGCACGUUGGGAAGGUUCAUGGUUCCUAUCUUGCUAUCAACAGUCUAUUCAUAUAAAGGGUUCACAAUUCAGUUAUCGUGGUAAAUGUGCGGCUUCGGAUGGUAACAAAUAUUUGAUUGUUGACGAGAAAGGAUGUCAUCGGUGCCUGGUUAUCUAUGAAAAACAUAAAAAUGUUCUUCAAUAUAAAGAAAGUGAGUGCGAAGGUGAUAGUAUGUAUAUGCAUCAAACGAAUCCAUCUGCCAUGGCGAUGCGUAGCGUUUUAAAACAAAGCGAACAUAGGGGGGGAGCUCAUCCCAAUUUGAACAACAACAACGGGCAUUCAAGACUAUCCUCAUCGGAUCAGUAUAUAAUGAGAUCCUAUGAUGAUAUGAAUGAUUGUCCCCCAGACUUUUGCAAGGGCCGUGAAACGUUACAGAAUCUCUGCGAUCAAAUACCCGGUGACGCUUUGCUGUAUUCGCUGUUUCGCGAGAGUGCCGAACCGGUCAAGUGUCCGUUGAAGGGACCCUUUGUAUUCACUUAUAAUCGUGGACACGGUGAAUGUAAGAGUCCUGUUUCGAAUAUCGAAAGUUGCACUGAAGAUAGUCGGCUGUUGCUCAGCUUCCAAGCUUGUCCUGAUGUGCAAGGCACAGAGAGUACAGUUGAAGAACUAACAUGCUUGGCCACCUGGAAGGAUGGAAACUCCCGUUAUCUUGUCGGCUUGGUUUCACAUCAUCAUGCAAUUUCCAAUGAAGAACGUUAUCGCUGCUUCGUCUAUGAGAAAAUUUCAUCACUAUUGGGUGGACUUAGCACUGUGAGUGCAAAAGAUGCCGAAUACAAAUUAGCACAAUCUGGUGAUGCUACCUGCAAUGGACUGGAUAGUGCAGAGGUUGGUUCACGCAUAAUGUCGCUGAGAAAACCACCGAUCACGGAACGUUGUGACUUCCCGGCUUGGUUCAAGGGACCGCGACACUGGCAUGUUCUCAUGGGUAACGCUGUCUACAACUAUCACCCCAAUGAUGGCUCUGUACAUAUUAUUAAGCCAAAUGGUUUCAUGGAGACACGAGCACUCUGCGAGCAGAUUAAUAAGCAAACCGCUACUGAAAUGAUGGCUGUGGUGCACUAUACAACCGGAUGUCAAUCGGGCUUUAUGUGCAUGAUGUUUUAUCGCCGCGAUACACAUGUCAUUGAAAUUCAGACAGGCAAACAGGCAUCACGGCUUGAGGAUGCUUGUGCGCCGGAUCAUUUCGAUGUGAAUCGUAUGCCAUAUAUUACGUUGCUAGCUAGCAAUCCGGAUCCACAAAUUUGUCCGAUGGAGGGUUUGUUCAAUUUGCGUGGCGCUAUUGGGCCGCCUUACUUGACUACGCGUCACAAACGUAAUCACAACAAUAAAAUUCAUUUAACUCACGGUCAUCAUCAUAGCCAAAGCGAUUUAGUUGUUGCAGCGGGUACGGCAAGUGGAGUUGAUGGCGGCGGUUAUGCGAAUAAAAGACAAGCCACACUUACUUUCCGCGAUGCUGAUAAAGUGGACAAAGGUGCGUGGCAUGCCAAUGCGCGUGCUCUCCAACCGGGACGAAAUAGACGCGCCACUGCCACAGCAAUCAACAAUAAUUCUGGCAGUAUCGUUAACACUACGACCACUUUGGAGCAUAUGAAUAUACUGGAGAGCGAAUUGCAACGACCAAAUGGUUCAGUGGCUGUAGACGAAGCAUCAUCACGAAAAGCAGUGGAUUUCGAACAUUCAACAAAGGCAAUUGAUUUGGAUCGGCAACGUAAUCGUCGCGAUGCACCUGGCUGCAUAACAAAUUACAAAGCGCAACGACGCCUCUGGGUGGGUUGCACCGAACCGGAUAUUAUUGAUGUGCGACCAAUGUGCAAUGAAGAUGGUGACGAAGAGUACUCUUGUCACGGAUCGUGGUCUGAGAAUAGCACUGUGUAUAUUAUCGCGCGACAUAAAGGCACCAAACAUGGUGUAUGUCUGAGUUAUCGCCCAACUGAAGGCACAGCGGCCAAACUGGUUAUCGGCGAUGCUUGUUAUCGCGGCACACAAAAACCACCCGAUCAUCAUUUGGUGGCCAAUCUAACUGUUUUCGGAAAAUGUGGAGAAACUGGUUCUGCCGCGAUACAAAUACGACUCAGCGCUGAGCUAAUCAAACUGGCUGCAGUGGUGUACGUGUUGUUGUUGGCGGUGAAUGUAAUGAACAAUGUGAAAGAUCGAAGAUGAUAAAUUUGCAACGGUAAUUGAAGAAGAUCAACGAAGGACAAUGAAAUACCCGUAGAAAAUACUAAAGAUAUACACACACCCAAACAAGUAGUUAAAUACAAUAUGUCAGUAUGGAAUCAGGUGCAUAUACAUAUGGCUUCAUUCAUGUAUGUGUGAAUGUACGUCGGUGUAAGUUUAUCAAAUAUUAAUGGCUUGCUGUUCUAUCUACAUACAUUCAUACAUACAUGUUUGUAUAUCGAUAGCUGUGUAUGCAUGUAAGACAGUGAAUAUUUUAAAAGCAGAACUCGAAUUAUCGCACGUAAGACUCACUUGUCUGCAAUUGAAAACACGUGAUAAGAGCGACGGCCUACAAAUAUCGAUCGGGUACUAAAUGUUGGACUAAUGUAUACCUUUUGAAUAAGACUUAGCAUUCGUAGUAACGCCCACACUUAUUAUGAACGAACGAACGAAACGCGCAUGCGUACGCAUAUGUUAUCGCACACACAUACAUAGAAGCAUAAAGGAGCAGAGAGAAAAUAUGUUGUAAAUAUUAUACAUACAUAUGACAUUGGUUUGUAUGGAUAUGAAUGUCGUUUAUAAAAUAUAUGAAGAAAACGAGUUAUAAAUAUAAAAAAUCGACUUUGUAAAUAAUAAAAUGAGCAUAUUUUCAAUUAGUUAUCCUAAGAAAUCGUAAUUUUAAGACACAACUGAACUAAGCGUAGAUAAAUACAUAAAUGGUUUGCAAUAGAGCCUUAGUUACGGAUAAGUGUUCCCAAAAGUGAAAGGUGGUUAGCGGGGGACGGUAAAUAGCCGUUACUUAUAUAUAAUUAGAACAAGUAGACGUGCAAAAA
Molecule: unclassified non-coding RNA, 4674 nt
Filed under: Bactrocera latifrons
Lineage: Eukaryota; Metazoa; Arthropoda; Insecta; Diptera; Tephritidae
Description: uncharacterized LOC108969832, transcript variant X4
Source: RNAcentral